GUGAGGAAUAUUGGUCAAUGGACGGAAGUCUGAACCAGCCAAGUAGCGUGCAGGAUGACGGCCCUAUGGGUUGUAAACUGCUUUUAUGCGGGGGUAAAGUGAGUGACGUGUCAUUCAUUGCAAGUACCGCAAGAAUAAGGACCGGCUAAUUCCGUGCCAGCAGCCGCGGUAAUACGGAAGGUCCUGGUGUUAUCCGGAUUUAUUGGGUUUAAAGGGAGCGUAGGCCGUCAGGCAAGCGUGUUGUGAAAUGUCGUGGCUCAACCAUGGACUUGCAGCGCGAACUGCCCGACUUGAGUGCGCGGAAAGCAGGCGGAAUUUGUGGUGUAGCGGUGAAAUGCUUAGAUAUCACGAAGAACCCCGAUUGCGAAGGCAGCCUGCUGUAGCGCUACUGACGCUGAAGCUCGAAAGUGCGGGUAUCGAACAGGAUUAGAAACCCGGGUAGUCC
This 445-nucleotide ribosomal RNA is filed under the name uncultured bacterium. RNAcentral describes it as "partial 16S ribosomal RNA". It matches the Rfam family "Bacterial small subunit ribosomal RNA", at positions 354 to 796 of the family's 1533-position model. The record is from RNAcentral.